UCAUAGUUUUGCGGAAAUUAGUGCAUUAUUGUUUUGAAUUUUCGAGCUUUGUGAAUUCGAGCUUUUAUUGCGACAUAUACGACGUUGCCGGACCACGUGAAUACUGCAAAGUCAAAGUCGCGUCUUUUGUGGACUCUUCUGCUAACAUAAACAAGGAUACCAGACUGCAAAGACCAAUAUUAAAUUUGACAAUUAAAAUCCUAAUCCGAAAUCAAACCCGCAAAAUUAUGAUUUGCGUAAUUACUGGUGGUAGGACCUCUUAUGAGUCCGCAUGGGCAAUGCGAUGGGAACCCACAUCGAUUGCAGUUGGCGUCGACACGAACGAAACAAACAAAAACAGACAUCCAUGCAGAAGCAUUCGAAAUUGUAACCAAUCGAAACCACUUGAGUAAUGAUUCAAAAAGGCGAAAUCGUAUCCAUAUACAAGAAAUAGUGAAGAAUCGACUUACAAAAAAAGAACAACAACAACAAAAACUUCAACAACUUUAAAACGAAAUGCUUAACUUCGAUAUUAAAAGUUUCAUCUAAAUUUCAUAAAACAAAAUAUCAAUUUCAAUUAGGCAUUGUACAGCGUUCGCAAACUUUGGGCGA
Molecule: long non-coding RNA, 591 nt
Organism: Bombyx mori (domestic silkworm)
Lineage: Eukaryota; Metazoa; Arthropoda; Insecta; Lepidoptera; Bombycidae
Exons: 3
Source: RefSeq, a predicted model, not a curated record